GUCAGCACCAUUCUGGUGGCCCAGUACUCUAUGAAACUAUGAAAGAAAAAUUCCACUAGCCAGCAGGGUCAGUGUGCUUGUCAGGUUACUCUCUUAGAAGGGAUCCUGGUCAAAUGUGUAGGCUACCACAAGGGCAUGAACCCAGAACUCCCUAGGCAUGUGGUCCACUCUGCCUAUGAUGGUGGUUGGGGUGAAGGGUUGAACAUCCCCAAAGAGAAGCAGGAACUAGGACCUAUUCAGGUCCCUCUCUGGGUUCUGCCUGGAUGGUACUGCUGAUUUUGGAUUUUCCCAGACAUUGGGGGGGGGGUCUUAAGACAUCCCAAAGUAUAGGGGUUCCCCUGAUAUGUGGAGUUAGAAUUGGGGCCCUGGUUUCUUGGGUCUGAGGGCAAAGCAGUGCAGCUUCCAUCAACCAAGCCGGUAGGAGUUUACUAUUCCAUUUUUCAUGUAAAGUCUUUAUAAUAGAGUUAAGCUGUCAGUAGCUGUGCAGGAGAGAGGACAGAGUGCCUCACUUCAACCUGCUUUGGUUUGAGUCCUAGAUAUCCCCCAUAUUAGCUGGAUGAUCUUGGAUGAGUUAAUCUUAAGGAACCUCAGUUUCUUCAUCUCUUCCAUAAAACAAAGGCACCACUGAACCCUGGUACUCUAAGGGAUGACAGCUAUCAUGCUCACAUCUGCCCCUCAUUUCUUUCAUCUUUUAGUGUUGUGAGAGUCAAUAGAGAAGGUAUAUGCAAAACCACCUGGCAUAUACUAGGCUUAUUUCAACACUGAGCAUUAAAUGAGCUGGUGUAUAUGUAUGUGUAUGUGUGCGCGCGCACACACUAGGGGAGGAAAAGCAAGUGGUGGAUUUUUCUGGUGCCUAUGCUCCCAAUGGCUGAUUUCAAAUUACCAACAUGGUGUCUCUGAAUGUGGAUCUGGGAAGACAUGCUAACAACUGGCUCUGCUGAGCAGGGAAAAGCUAGCUCCAGCAUUCACUGGUUGAACUCUUAUAUGCCAGGCAGUGUUCAGUGCUGGUGAUACGUGUUGAAUAUGAAUGAAACUUAAAGUUCUUUUCUCUGUACUCUUUUUUCCCCUUCCCAACCAAAGGUAUGUGCUUCCGAAAUACUUUGCAAAUGAGAUGUAGUUCUAGGUAAAUAAGCAAGAACCUAAUGACCUCUCAAGGUAUCUCUCAGCACUUGCUUGAACCAGUAGAGGAAGUGUGAUUUCUGGUUUCUUUGCAAGCCAGCAGUCUUGUUUCCAUAGAGCCGAGUGGUAUGAAUAAGGCCAGAAAAGCUGCUUCUCUCAUUGGUUUGGUGUUUGGUGUUGAUGGAGACACUUCAUUUCCUGGAGGCCCACUCAGCAAUACUAGAAGGGCAAGGUGCUUGCUCGUUCAUUCAUUAUCGUGGGGCCUGAAUGACCCUGUGAGACAAGAGUCAUUUCCCAGCUGCAUGAGGUCACAACUUGCUAGCCAUACCCACACUUCAUUCUCCCAGGGCACUUCGAUGAUGCUGGGGAUUCCAUUAUGACUGACACCUGAUAUCUAAUAGGAAAGCAAUGGAACUGUUCUCAAAGUGGGAAAAUGAUUUUUUUUUUUUUGAAGGUUGUAGAAGGGAGCAGGUUGAGAAAUAGCUACCUUGAGUACUUGGAAAUGUGUAAACUGGUAAAACUAGUGAGCAAGGAAAAUAGGUUGUCUCUAGUACUCCGUCUUGAGUCACUGCGUUCAUAUACUGUAAGUUGCUUUAUAUCAUUUCUCAGAAGGCAAUUUCUUUUUCAGGUUAAGUUUCCGUACAAGGCAAUAUUAAGGGAGGAAAAAAGCACAAUGCAAGCACUGUUCUUAUUGCUGUUUAAAAAUGCCCACUAAAAAUAAAGCUAAUAUGUUUCCUGUUUAAUACUAGACACACUGAAAUUUAAUAUAAAAAUUGGGACCCUGAUGGAGGUUUCUUUUUUUUUUGUGGAUAAACUUACAAAAUUUAUUUGGGAUGUUUGAGAUUAUUCUACUUUUUCAUUUUAACUAUAUUUGGAAAAUUAAAUUAUGUAUUUAAUUCAAGCUACACUGCCAAUAUUUGGAAUAAACAUUUAGAAUAAAGGGGAAACUCUCAGAGUUUCAAAAUGGCUUUACCAUAUAGAUAGAAUAAAUUUAGACUCAAGGAUAAUAGAAAAACAACUGCAGUUUAUUUUUGGAACCAGAAUGGGUACGGGUGGGGAGUGAUUUCACUAGCAGAUAGGUGCCUGGAGGUUUUUUUUCCUGAGUUUUUCCACUCUAGACAACUUUAAUUGAUUUCUCAUAUGUUAAGGAUUUAGUAUUGUUGGUUGGCUUCCACGAUAACUUACAUUUAUUAUAGGAUAACAUGUAAUUUUCCAGGUUGGAAUUUUUGG
This 2349-nucleotide long non-coding RNA is filed under the name Marmota monax (woodchuck). The record is from RNAcentral. Lineage: Eukaryota; Metazoa; Chordata; Mammalia; Rodentia; Sciuridae.